RNAcentral lists this ribosomal RNA (468 nucleotides) under uncultured bacterium. RNAcentral describes it as "partial 16S ribosomal RNA". It matches the Rfam family "Bacterial small subunit ribosomal RNA", at positions 28 to 507 of the family's 1533-position model. The record is from RNAcentral.
GACGAACGCUGGCGGCGUGCUUAACACAUGCAAGUCGAACAGAAAGGCCCUGCUUUUGUGGGGUGCUCGAGUGGCGAACGGGUGAGUAACACGUGAGUAACCUGCCCUUGACUUUGGGAUAACUUCAGGAAACUGGGGCUAAUACCGGAUAGGAGCUCCUGCUGCAUGGUGGGGGUUGGAAAGUUUCGGCGGUUGGGGAUGGACUCGCGGCUUAUCAGCUUGUUGGUGGGGUAGUGGCUUACCAACGCUUUGACGGGUAGCCGGCCUGAGAGGGUGGCCGGCGACAUUGGGACUGAGAGACGGCCCAGACUCCUACGGGAGGCAGCAGUGGGGAGUAUUGCACAGUGGGCGGAAGCCUGAUGCAGCAACGCCGCGUGCGGGAUGACGGCCUUCGGGUUGUAAACCGCUUUCGCCUGUGACGAAGCGUGAGUGACGGUAAUGGGUAAAGAAGCACCGGCUAACUACGUG